GAUGAACGCUGGCUGCAGGCUUAACACAUGCAAGUCGAGCGGAAACGCCGGGGUUGUGUGCGUUCCCGGGCUGCGACCGGCGCGCGGAACACGUACGUGUCCUGCACCUGCCUUUGGGUUAACUUUAAGCAGCUGAGAGUCAUCCCGGUACGUCACUGCUGCUGCAUCGUGGGGGUUGGGACGAUUCGGCGGUUGGGGAUUGACGCGCGGCGUAUCAGCUUGUUGGGGGGGUAGUGGAUUACCAAGGCUUUGACGGGUAGCCGGCCUGAGAGGGUGACCGGCCACAGUGGGACUGAGAUACGGCCCAGACUCCUAAGGGAGGCAGCAGUGGGGAAUAGUGCACAAUGGGCGGAAGGCUGAUGCAGAAACGCCGCGUGCGGGAUGACGGCCUUCGGGUUGUAAACCGCUUUCGCCUGUGACGAAGCGUGAGUGACGGUAAUGGGUAAAGAAGCACCGGCUAACUACGUG
This 468-nucleotide ribosomal RNA is filed under the name uncultured bacterium. Its description in RNAcentral is "partial 16S ribosomal RNA". It matches the Rfam family "Bacterial small subunit ribosomal RNA", at positions 28 to 507 of the family's 1533-position model. The record is from RNAcentral.